CACUGUCCUACACACACUAGGGACAAUUUAGAUUCAUCAGCCUACAAACCUGUACGUCUUUGGAGAGUGGGAGGAAACCCAAGAUCUUGGAGAAAACACACAUAGGUCAUGAGGUGAACGUACAAACUCCCUACAGACAGCACCAAUGGUCAGAAUCAAACCCAGGUCUCUGGCGCUGCAAGGCAGUAGCUCUAACACUGUGUUCGCCUGAUCCUCUGUAGCUACCAGCCACCCAUCUCACAUUGCACGUCCUCCAUGAUUGGCUCCCAUGCAGGGCUCAAACUCCAAGGGAACCACCAUUCAUGUCAGGUGACUUUCCCUCCUCUGUUCCACACACAUGCCUCUAAGAAUUGCUGAGUACCUUUAAUCAUCCGAGCCCCUGGGAAGGCUGGUAUUACAUGGCCAAUGAUCAACCGUUCUAGCCAUUCAGUACAUUCACUCUGCUCACACAUGCUCAGCACGGUGGUGCAACGGUAGAGUUGCUGCCUUACACCACUAGAGACAGGGUUCGAUCCUGACUAUGGGUGCUCUCUGUAAGGCGUUUUUCUCCGGGAUGCUCCGGUUUUCACCCACAAUCCAAAGACGUACAGGUUUGUAGGCUAAUUGGCUUCGUAAAUCUGCAAUUUGUCCCUGGCAUGUGCAGCAUAAAGUCAGUGUGCGGGGAUCGAUGGUCAGCACGAACUCGGUGGGCCGAAGGGCCUGUUUCUGCUCUGUAUCUCCGAACUAAACUAAACUAAACUAAAAGCACUUGACAUUAACUACACAUUGGACAUUCUAUGUAUUAUAAAAGCCCACAACACAAAGUGGGUCAGUAGAUUUAAGGCAUAAGGUAUCUUAUAUUACUUUUGAUGACAAUGCUCUCUGAAAUUUGACCUUGCUUUUUCUUUCAUCAGUUGAGCAGGUUGUCAUUCUCAGUGACAAACGCAGGCAAUUGAAUCAGAGUCUCAUUGUGCAAACACUGCAGCUUUUUUUGAAACAUUCAUUCGAAUGCUCGCCUUUUAUUUGUCCACACAGUGAGGAAGCCACACCUUGCUUACCUGCUGCAGCUCAAGGCCCUUGUCCGAUGAAAGAAAGCUUGAGUCACUCGCCCCUACUUGCCUCAAGUUAUGGGGCAUCGCAUCUCCCUGCCUCCAGCUGCUGAAUAAUGAUUUAUCUAACUUCAAGUAACAAAGGUUGGCACGGUGGCACAAGGGCUUGCAACGCCGGACACCCAGUGAUAUGGAUUCGCCAUGGCUCUUGUGUGACAAGCAACUAUCAGCAGAUAAAGACUUUAUAGAAGUGAGAUCGACCGACUGACCAUAUGGUGCCAGCACAAUAACUUGACUCUCAACACCAGCAAAACCAAGGAACUGAUUGUG
Leucoraja erinaceus (little skate) is the source of this 1358-nucleotide long non-coding RNA. RefSeq lists it as uncharacterized. The record is from RefSeq and is a predicted model, not a curated record. The transcript is spliced from 3 exons. NCBI's taxonomy places the organism in Eukaryota, Metazoa, Chordata, Chondrichthyes, Rajiformes, Rajidae.